This 254-nucleotide ribosomal RNA is filed under the name uncultured bacterium. Its description in RNAcentral is "partial 16S ribosomal RNA". It matches the Rfam family "Bacterial small subunit ribosomal RNA", at positions 524 to 776 of the family's 1533-position model. The record is from RNAcentral.
UACGUAGGGUCCGAGCGUUGUCCGGAAUUACUGGGCGUAAAGAGCUCGUAGGUGGUUUGUCGCGUUGUUCGUGAAAACUCACAGCUUAACUGUGGGCGUGCGGGCGAUACGGGCAGACUUGAGUACUGCAGGGGGAGACUGGAAUUCCUGGUGUAGCGGUGGAAUGCGCAGAUAUCAGGAGGAACACCGGUGGCGAAGGCGGGUCUCUGGGCCGAUACUGACGCUGAGGAGCGAAAGCGUGGGGAGCGAACAGG